UCUGGAAGAAAAGGGGCGGGGGCAAAUACGACAGGUUCAUGCCUGAAACCAGGUGAGAUUCAGUUCCAUUCGAUUAUUAAGCGAUCUG
Pangasianodon gigas (Mekong giant catfish) is the source of this 88-nucleotide non-coding RNA. Lineage: Eukaryota; Metazoa; Chordata; Actinopteri; Siluriformes; Pangasiidae. The record is from the annotation of a GenBank genome assembly.